This 440-nucleotide ribosomal RNA is filed under the name uncultured bacterium. Its description in RNAcentral is "partial 16S ribosomal RNA". It matches the Rfam family "Bacterial small subunit ribosomal RNA", at positions 338 to 795 of the family's 1533-position model. The record is from RNAcentral.
CCUACGGGAGGCAGCAGUGGGGGAUAUUGCACAAUGGGGGAAACCCUGAUGCAGCGACGCCGCGUGGGUGAAGAAGCGCCUCGGUGCGUAAAGCCCUGUCAGCAGGGAAGAAAAUGACGGUACCUGAAGAAGAAGCCCCGGCUAACUACGUGCCAGCAGCCGCGGUAAUACGUAGGGGGCAAGCGUUAUCCGGAUGUACUGGGUGGAAAGGGGGCGCAGACGGCGAUGCAAGCCAGGAGUGAAAGCCCGGGGUCCAACCCCGGGACGGCUCUUGGAACUGCGUGGCUAGAGUGCAGGAGGGGAAGGCGGAAUUCCUGGUGUAGCGGUGAAAUGCGUAGAUAUCAGGAGGAACACCGGUGGCGAAGGCGGCCUGCUGGACGGCAACUGACGUUGAGGCCCGAAAGCGUGGGGAGCAAACAGGAUUAGAUACCCUUGUAGUC